GAUGAACGCUGACAGAAUGCUUAACACAUGCAAGUCUACUUGAAUUUGGGUUUUUUAACUUAGAUUUGGGUGGCGGACGGGUGAGUAACGCGUAAAGAACUUGCCUCACAGUUAGGGACAACAUUUGGAAACGAAUGCUAAUACCUGAUAUUAUGAAUAUAUGGCAUCAUAUAAUUAUGAAAGCUAUAAGCGCUGUGAGAGAGCUUUGCGUCCCAUUAGCUAGUUGGAGAGGUAACGGCUCACCAAGGCGAUGAUGGGUAGCCGGCCUGAGAGGGUGAACGGCCACAAGGGGACUGAGACACGGCUCUUACUCCUACGGGAGGCAGCAGUGGGGAAUAUUGGACAAUGGACCAAGAGUCUGAUCCAGCAAUUCUGUGUGCACGAUGACGUUUUUCGGAAUGUAAAGUGCUUUCAGUUGGGAAGAAAAAAAUGACGGUACCAACAGAAGAAGUGACGGCUAAAUACGU
Molecule: ribosomal RNA, 467 nt
Filed under: uncultured bacterium
Lineage: Bacteria
Description: partial 16S ribosomal RNA
Rfam family: Bacterial small subunit ribosomal RNA
Source: RNAcentral